Molecule: long non-coding RNA, 573 nt
Filed under: Actinidia chinensis (golden kiwifruit)
Lineage: Eukaryota; Viridiplantae; Streptophyta; Magnoliopsida; Ericales; Actinidiaceae
Description: long non-coding RNA (ACHI_LNC000680)
Source: RNAcentral
AAUCCCCACCACCACCACCACCACCGCACUACCCACCACCACAUCAACCCUUACAAAUACAAAUCCCCACCGCCACCACCGCCACCUCAUCAUUACUUAUACACUUCACCUCCUCCUCCCCACCACUACUAAUGAAUGGCUUUGAUAGGUUUGAGGUAAGCUAAAGCUUUAACUUAAAAGGCUCUAUUUUGACCCCAAAAAAAUGGUUGAAGAAAAAAUUCAACAGAGUGAUGUGGUGAUAUUACGUUUGUAAACAAAGCAAUCUUAAAGUUGUUGUUUUUUUCUGCAGGAAAUAGAGAGAUUAAAAUAAAGAACAUUGGUGUUGCAGAGCUUUUAAGAAAGAGCAUGAAAGCAACCACAAGAGGAAGAAGAAGAAGAAUGAGCCAAGAAGAAAAGAAAGGAAGUGUUCAGUAGUAUGAUGUAUUUUGAUAUAUUGUUUGUGUACUGAAUUGGUCGUGCAAGUCUUUGUGUUAGACCGAUUCGCUUGUGUUUUGACCUCUUGACAAGUGCAAAGGUCAUUUGUGUAAUUCAAUAAAUGAAUUUCUCAAAUUUUCUACUGUGACAGGCUUAAUA